Molecule: non-coding RNA, 417 nt
Organism: Pelobates cultripes (western spadefoot toad)
Lineage: Eukaryota; Metazoa; Chordata; Amphibia; Anura; Pelobatidae
Source: the annotation of a GenBank genome assembly
AAAGAAAUGAAAAACAUGAAUUGUGCAAAUUUACAUAAUUUUAAGCCAUUUCUAUAACUGCAACUUAUACAAAAAAUAGUUAUUUUGUUCUAUGUUUAUGUGGUAGCUAUGCAUCCCAUUUAAAAAAAACAAAAAAAAAACAAGUUCAGUAGUGAAGGAAUUUAAUCUUAGCUUGUGUACUAAUUUGUUGCAGGUUUCCUCUUAAAAUCAAUAUGUAACUGUACAAAUAUAAAAUUAUCAUGGUUGAAAUUGCUGUAGCAUAUUGCAAAGUGAGUUUAGCAUGUCUUUGAAUAGAAAAGCAUGCACAAACAGGCAUUAGGCACCUGUUCUCAUCGAUACAGGAGCCCAGGGAAUAGUUUUAAUGAGAAUCAUUUGAACUAAUCCUCUACAAGAGGUGUGCAGUAAAAUUUAAUUUCC